RNAcentral lists this ribosomal RNA (856 nucleotides) under Haematoloechus sp. 2 YVU-2019. Its description in RNAcentral is "partial 28S ribosomal RNA". It matches the Rfam family "Eukaryotic large subunit ribosomal RNA", at positions 133 to 624 of the family's 3401-position model. The record is from RNAcentral. Lineage: Eukaryota; Metazoa; Platyhelminthes; Trematoda; Plagiorchiida; Haematoloechidae.
UAGGCACAUGGUGGGUGGUUUAAGGUCGUUCCGUGGAUUUGCUUCAACCCUAGGUCAUUCAUGAGUACGGUAUUAUGACAUUGUCCAUAGAAGGGUGGAAAGGCCGUGGGGGGUGGAGAUUCGGUAGGACAAGAAUAAUCCUUGGGUAGACCUGGGAGUCGGGUUGUUUGAGAAUGCAGCCCAAGUGGGUGGUAAACUCCAUCCAAGGCUAAAUACUUGCACGAGUCCGAUAGCGAACAAGUACCGUGAGGGAAAGUUGAAAAGUACUUUGAAGAGAGAGUAAACAGUGCGUGAAACCGCUCAGAGGUAAACGGGUGGAGUUGAACUGCAAGCUUUGGGAAUUCAACUGGUGAGUGUGGUUUUAGCUUGGUAAAAUUGGUGGACAUUGGGGUCUGCGUAGUAGCAGGUCUUCGCCUUCGGGUGGGGAUGCGCGAUGCACUUAUCAAGUGUUGUGCGCCUCAGUGGUCAUACCGACCAACUCGCUAGUGCACUUUCUCAGAGUGUUCACCACGACCGGCGCCGCUGUCUGGCCUCUAUAGUUAAACCGGUUUUGCAUUGUCCUUGUGGCUUUGCUUAGUCGGGACGGCAGGUAGCUCGUUGACUUGCUUGUGGUUCGCUGCAAGCGUGGUUUUCGAGUGUAAUCAGCUGACUGUGGUGGUUCUGUGCAGUGUGUCGGAGACGGCGGCUUGAGGUGUGUGCUCUAACCAGGAUUCCCUCAGUAACGGCGAGUGAACAGGGAGAAGCCUGUUCAUACAGAUCUGGUAGUAGCUCGAAUUUGUUAGGCCGGCGACUGCCUGUGUGGCAUUUUACCAAGGUGCCAAUAGUCUGUGGUGUGGAGUAGACGAUCCAUCGUUGG